Molecule: ribosomal RNA, 492 nt
Filed under: uncultured bacterium
Lineage: Bacteria
Description: bacterial SSU rRNA
Rfam family: Bacterial small subunit ribosomal RNA
Source: RNAcentral
AAUCAACGCUGGCGGCGUGCCUCAGACAUGCAAGUCGAACGAUUAAAGCUCUCUUCGGAGAGUGCAUAGAGUGGCGCACGGGUGAGUAACACGUAAGUAAUCUACCUUCGAGUGGGGAAUAACGUCCGGAAACGGACGCUAAUACCGCAUAAUGCAGCGGCAUCGUAAGAUGACAGUUGUUAAAGAUUUAUCGCUUGAAGAGGAGCUUGCGGCAGAUUAGCUAGUUGGUAAGGUAAUGGCUUACCAAGGCUACGAUCUGUAACCGGUCUUAGAGGACGGUCGGUCACACUGACACUGAACAACGGGUCAGACUCCUACGGGAGGCAGCAGUCGGGAAUUUUGGGCAAUGGGCGAAAGCCUGACCCAGCAACGCCGCGUGAAGGAUGAAGUAUUUCGGUAUGUAAACUUCGAAAGAAUGGGAAGAAUAAAUGACGGUACCAUUUAUAAGGUCCGGCUAACUACGUGCCAGCAGACGCGGUAAGUCUCGCGUGA